Molecule: unclassified non-coding RNA, 396 nt
Filed under: fungal sp.
Lineage: Eukaryota; Fungi
Description: partial internal transcribed spacer region
Rfam family: Eukaryotic small subunit ribosomal RNA (bases 1-46)
Source: RNAcentral
AAGUCGUAACAAGGUUUCCGUAGGUGAACCUGCGGAAGGAUCAUUAAUAUUGAAUUAGAGGGAUGGUUGGGAGUGGGGUGAGGGAAGGGGGGGAGUUAAUAAAUGGGAGAGGGAAGAGAGUAAUUAUGUUUCAUUCACUUGUAUUUAUAAAAAACAAACCAACUGACACCACACACUAUACCACCAUCAACAACCUUUGUGCAAAUAAGGAAUAAUUAGGGUUAGGUUAGAGAGGGGGAUGAUAAGGGAUGAUGAUUAUUUAUUUUAUCAUUCAUUAUUAUUCUCAUUAUUUAUUCUAUUCACCAUUAUUCUUUAAAACCAUAUAAAAUUUAUACUCGAGUCUUAAAAAUAGAAAUAAUAAUAAUACAACUUUUAACAAUGGAUCUCUAGGCUCUU